Molecule: transfer RNA, 77 nt
Filed under: Alphaproteobacteria bacterium
Lineage: Bacteria; Pseudomonadati; Pseudomonadota; Alphaproteobacteria
Description: tRNA-Arg
Rfam family: tRNA
About the family: Transfer RNA (tRNA) molecules are approximately 80 nucleotides in length. Their secondary structure includes four short double-helical elements and three loops (D, anti-codon, and T loops).
Source: RNAcentral
GCGCUCGUAGCUCAGCAGGAUAGAGCACCAGAUUCCUAAUCUGGGGGUCGCAGGUUCGAGUCCUGCCGGGCGCGCCA